Tribolium castaneum (red flour beetle) is the source of this 880-nucleotide long non-coding RNA. RefSeq lists it as uncharacterized. The record is from RefSeq and is a predicted model, not a curated record. Lineage: Eukaryota; Metazoa; Arthropoda; Insecta; Coleoptera; Tenebrionidae. The transcript has 2 exons.
AGUGCUUGUUGAGUUGGACAAUUAUGCAGUGUUUCUGCCGAGAAGAAUAAGUGAUUAUUUGACUGAGGAGAAAAUUGAUGAGUUAUUACGAGAUCCACGUCCACUAUAUUUAAUAUAUUUGGGAAAAGAAGAUGCUAGAAACCCGACAUCUGCACAUUGUUUUGAGUUUCAACGUGUUGAUGAUGAAAUAUUAGUUAACGAGGGUGCCGAAGAGUAGGAUAAAAUUAUCGGAAAAAGACUUUUGUGUGUGAAGUAGUGUGCGUUUUGUGCUAGUGAUAGUUUCUUAAAAUAAAUGAAUAAAAAUCAUGUGUCUAGACGAUGGACAAUAUGAAAAAAGUUUAUACGAGUGUUUUGAUAAAAGACUGUUAUCAUAUAAGAACUGGGUACAUUCAUACCUAUCUCCAUGGAGUUUAGCAAAAGCGGGAUUGUUUUAUAUUCAAAUAUCUGAUUGUACCCAGUGUUUUGUUUGUGGAGUAAUAAUUUCACGAUGGGAAAAAAGUGAUGAUGCGUUUAUGGAGCAUAAAAAACAUUCUCCAAAAUGUGGAUAUGUGAAAUUGCUUUCUGCAGACAAAACUACAAUUCAAAAAUUCAAAUUAGUUACUAAAAAUAGCAUUGUUGUAGUUUUAUUUUUUAUAGUAUUUGUAUUCAUGUAUUAUUUAUGUGCGUCUUCUUAUGCAUAGGUAAUGUGAUGCAGACUUGUUAACCUUGAUCAGUGUCGGGCGCGCGCCAAAGGCGAGGUAAACUAAAGGUUUCAAGAGGCGUCUUGAUUUAAUUAGUUUAUAAUUAAAUAAGUGGUAGAAUAAUAUGGAGGAUUUAUAAUAGAUUUAAGGAUAUUUAAUGUACUACCUAUAAUAUUGAUGAAAUAAAGUGUUUUAAUCGA